AAGAGUUUGUCAGGGCUCCGCGGACUCGGGGGGCGCUUCUGAAGGGGCCUGUGUUCCCCGGCACGGCCAGGCACAGCUGGCCAGACGGAAAACACCGGCCGGCCCCCCAGGAGCUCCUCGCCGCCUGAAGAUGGACACAGAGGCUGACAGUUGCAGCUUAGAGGAGGUCCCGUGCCUGUGACCACCCCUGAGUGGCUUCCAGAAGCAGCCGGCAGAGGGUCAUUUGCCCUACUGCCAAGCACCCCCCGACCCCAUGCAACAUAAGGUCCUCAAGAGGAACCCACCUGAUGCUCCUGGACUUGGCGGUCCUCAGAUCUGCAGGCCAGAUGAGCUCCUGCAGUUUGUAAUUCACCGGUGUGCCGGCGUUACAGCAGGAGAAGGAGGACCGAAGUGCAUCGCCGGGAGCGCCUCCGGGGCGUCCAAGCCAGAUCGGAACACCAGCGAGGACUCGGGAAGGAGGCAAAGAAAAUAUCUGACAGCAAGCAGCCAAGGCGGCGGUGAGGACAGCCUUACUCGGCACAGCACAGGCGGGCAGCACCCUUGCCGGCGGCCCAGAGACCUAGCCCAGUCUGUGCCCUGUGCCCUUCCCUGUGGCCAGCAGUGGGAAGACGCCUGCUGUCCUCCACACACCCUCGGACCAGA
This 642-nucleotide long non-coding RNA is filed under the name Fukomys damarensis (Damara mole-rat). RNAcentral's name for it is "lncRNA (ENSFDAG00000032668.1)". The record is from RNAcentral. Lineage: Eukaryota; Metazoa; Chordata; Mammalia; Rodentia; Bathyergidae.